UACGUAGGGCGCAAGCGUUGGCCGGAAUUAUUGGGCGUAAAGAGCUCGUAGGCGGUUUGUCGCGUCUGCUGUGAAAUCCCGAGGCUCAACCUCGGGCUUGCAGUGGGUACGGGCAGACUAGAGUGCGGUAGGGGAGACUGGAAUUCCUGGUGUAGCGGUGGAAUGCGCAGAUAUCAGGAGGAACACCGAUGGCGAAGGCAGGUCUCUGGGCCGCAACUGACGCUGAGGAGCGAAAGCAUGGGGAGCGAACAGG
This 253-nucleotide ribosomal RNA is filed under the name uncultured bacterium. RNAcentral's name for it is "partial 16S ribosomal RNA". It matches the Rfam family "Bacterial small subunit ribosomal RNA", at positions 524 to 776 of the family's 1533-position model. The record is from RNAcentral.